CUCAGAUUGAACGCUGGCGGCAUGCCUUACACAUGCAAGUCGAACGGCAGCACGGGCUUCGGCCUGGUGGCGAGUGGCGAACGGGUGAGUAAUACAUCGGAACGUGCCCUGUUGUGGGGGAUAACCAGUCGAAAGAUUGGCUAAUACCGCAUACGACCUGAGGGUGAAAGCGGGGGACCGCAAGGCCUCGCGCAGCAGGAGCGGCCGAUGUCUGAUUAGCUAGUUGGUGGGGUAAAGGCCCACCAAGGCGACGAUCAGUAGCUGGUCUGAGAGGACGAUCAGCCACACUGGGACUGAGACACGGCCCAGACUCCUACGGGAGGCAGCAGUGGGGAAUUUUGGACAAUGGGGGCAACCCUGAUCCAGCAAUGCCGCGUGUGUGAAGAAGGCCUUCGGGUUGUAAAGCACUUUUGUCCGGAAAGAAAACCUCUGCCCUAAUACGGCGGGGGGAUGACGUACCG
This 461-nucleotide ribosomal RNA is filed under the name soil bacterium 10G-16. RNAcentral describes it as "bacterial SSU rRNA". It matches the Rfam family "Bacterial small subunit ribosomal RNA", at positions 23 to 480 of the family's 1533-position model. The record is from RNAcentral.